RNAcentral lists this ribosomal RNA (475 nucleotides) under uncultured organism. Its description in RNAcentral is "partial 16S ribosomal RNA". It matches the Rfam family "Bacterial small subunit ribosomal RNA", at positions 332 to 798 of the family's 1533-position model. The record is from RNAcentral.
UACACUCCUACGGGAGGCAGCAGUGGGGAAUUUUGGACAAUGGGCGAAAGCCUGAUCCAGCAAUGCCGCGUGAGUGAAGAAGGCCUUCGGGUUGUAAAGCUCUUUUGUCAGGGAAGAAACGGUGAAAGCUAAUAUCUUUUGCUAAUGACGGUACCUGAAGAAUAAGCACCGGCUAACUACGUGCCAGCAGCCGCGGUAAUACGUAGGGUGCAAGCGUUAAUCGGAAUUACUGGGCGUAAAGCGUGCGCAGGCGGUUUUGUAAGUCUGAUGUGAAAUCCCCGGGCUCAACCUGGGAAUUGCAUUGGAGACUGCAAGGCUAGAAUCUGGCAGAGGGGGGUAGAAUUCCACGUGUAGCAGUGAAAUGCGUAGAUAUGUGGAGGAACACCGAUGGCGAAGGCAGCCCCCUGGGUCAAGAUUGACGCUCAUGCACGAAAGCGUGGGCAGCAAACAGGAUUAGAAACCCCAGUAGUCCCAU